This 625-nucleotide ribosomal RNA is filed under the name uncultured ciliate. RNAcentral describes it as "SSU rRNA". It matches the Rfam family "Eukaryotic small subunit ribosomal RNA", at positions 326 to 967 of the family's 1831-position model. Lineage: Eukaryota; Ciliophora. The record is from RNAcentral.
UGGUAGUGUAUUGGACAACCAUGGCAGUCACGGGUAACGGGGAAUUAGGGUUCGAUUCCGGAGAGGGAGCCUGAGAAACGGCUACCACUUCUAAGGAAGGCAGCAGGCGCGUAAAUUACCCAAUCCCAAUUCGGGGAGGUAGUGACAAGAAAUAACAACCUGGGGGGCUCUGCCCUUACGGGAUUGUAAUGGGAACAAUGUAAAAACUUUAUCGAGGAACAAUUGGAGGGCAAGUCUGGUGCCAGCAGCCGCGGUAAUUCCAGCUCCAAUAGCGUAUAUUAAAGUUGUUGCAGUUAAAAAGCUCGUAGUUGAAUUUCUGCACGUGCCCGGUUGUGGCUUCGGUCAGGCCGUGGCGCGUGCAUCCGUCUGCAAACCUAGACCGGCCUUCAUUGGUCGACUAGGGGAGUAGACCUUUUACCUUGAAAAAAUUAGAGUGUUUCUAGCAGGCAAUUGCUUGAAUACAUUAGCAUGGAAUAAUAGAAUAGGACUUUUGUCCAUUUCGUUGGUUAUUGGACAUUAGUAAUGAUUAAAAGGGACAGUUGGGGGCAUUAGUAUUUAAUUGUCAGAGGUGAAAUUCUUGGAUUUAUUAAAGACUAACUUAUGCGAAAGCAUUUGCCAAGGAUGU